RNAcentral lists this small RNA (402 nucleotides) under Pongo abelii (Sumatran orangutan). RNAcentral describes it as "sense intronic". The record is from RNAcentral. Lineage: Eukaryota; Metazoa; Chordata; Mammalia; Primates; Hominidae.
GCAUGUCUGCACAGACCUCAAAUGAUGGAGCAUUCUCCUCCCCAAUUCUGGCUGUCCUUUGUCAGACUCUACAAUCAUGGCUAGAAGAAAAAAGUUGACUUAACCGUUCUUUGUUGAAAUUCGGGACUAUGUUAGAGAUACCAGGUCUCAUUCAAAUACAGCCUUCAUUAAAAGACCCUUAAGUAACCAGAUCCCAAGAGCAGAGAGCCAUCAUGCCUCCAACUCAGUUUCUUCAGAUUGGCUGGUUUUUGUGCUCAACUUUUGACUUUACCCACCUUCCUGACGAAGUUUUGAGGACCACUAGGUAAGCAUGCUAUCUUCAACGUUAAAAAAAAAAUCAUGAUUGAAGGCAGCUGCACUUCAUAUAUCAAGGAGCAUUGAAUAUAACUAACUCUAAAACUU